AUUGAACGCUGGCGGCAGGCCUAACACAUGCAAGUCGAGCGCGCGGCGGACGGGUGAGUAAUGUCUGGGAAACUGCCUGAUGGAGGGGGAUAACUACUGGAAACGGUAGCUAAUACCGCAUACCAUCAGAUGUGCCCAGAUGGGAUUAGCUAGUAGGUGGGGUAAUGGCUCACCUAGGCGACGCUCCCUAGCUGGUCUGAGAGGAUGACCAGCCACACUGGAACUGAGACACGGUCCAGACUCCUACGGGAGGCAGCAGUGGGGAAUAUUGCACAAUGGGGGCAAGCCUGAUGAAGCCAUGCCGCGUGUAGGAAGAAGGCCUUCGGGUUGUAAAGUACAUUCAGCGGGGAGGCGGUACCCGCAGAAGAAGCACCGGCUAACUCCGUGCCAGCAGCCGCGGUAAUAC
This 406-nucleotide ribosomal RNA is filed under the name uncultured bacterium. Its description in RNAcentral is "partial 16S ribosomal RNA". It matches the Rfam family "Bacterial small subunit ribosomal RNA", at positions 30 to 526 of the family's 1533-position model. The record is from RNAcentral.